UCUGCCUGGUAGUGGGGGAUAACUUGCCGAAAGGUAAGCUAAUACCGCGUACGCCCUACGGGGGAAAGCAGGGGAUCUUCGGACCUUGCGCUAUCAGAUGAGCCCAAGCCGGAUUAGCUUGUUGGUGAGGUAAAGGCUCACCAAGGCGACGAUCCGUAGCUGGUCUGAGAGGAUGAUCAGCCACACCGGGACUGAGACACGGCCCGGACUCCUACGGGAGGCAGCAGUGGGGAAUAUUGGACAAUGGGGGGAACCCUGAUCCAGCCAUGCCGCGUGUGUGAAGAAGGUCUUCGGAUUGUAAAGCACUUUAAGUUGGGAGGAAGGGUUUGCGGUUAAUACCUGCGAAUUUUGACGUUACCAACAGAAUAAGCACCGGCUAACUUCGUGCCAGCAGCCGCGGUAAUACGAAGGGUGCGAGCGUUAAUCGGAAUUACUGGGCGUAAAGCGCGCGUAGGUGGUUUGUUAAGUUGGAAGUGAAAGCCCCGGGCUCAACCUGGGAAUUGCUUUCAAAACUGACAGGCUAGAGUACGGUAAAGGGUAGUGGAAUUUCCUGUGUAGCGGUGAAAUGCGUAAAUAUAGGAAGGAACAUCAGUGGCGAAGGCGACUACCUG
Molecule: ribosomal RNA, 611 nt
Filed under: uncultured bacterium
Lineage: Bacteria
Description: bacterial SSU rRNA
Rfam family: Bacterial small subunit ribosomal RNA
Source: RNAcentral